Molecule: ribosomal RNA, 305 nt
Filed under: uncultured bacterium
Lineage: Bacteria
Description: bacterial SSU rRNA
Rfam family: Bacterial small subunit ribosomal RNA
Source: RNAcentral
ACUAUCCUAUGGGGGGCAGCAGUAGGGAAUCUUCCACAAUGGGCGAAAGCCUGAUGGAGCAACGCCGCGUGGGUGAAGAAGGUCUUCGGAUCGUAAAACCCUGUUGUUAGAGAAGAAAGUGCGUGAGAGUAACUGUUCACAUUUCGACGGUAUCUAACCAGAAAGCCACGGCUAACUACGUGCCAGCAGCCGCGGUAAUACGUAGGUGGCAAGCGUUAUCCGGAUUUAUUGGGCGUAAAGGGAACGCAGGCGGUCUUUUAAGUCUGAUGUGAAAGCCUUCGGCUUAACCGACGUAGUGCAUUGGA